UACGUAGGGUGCAAGCGUUAAUCGGAAUUACUGGGCGUAAAGCGUGCGCAGGCGGCUUUGCAAGUCGGAUGUGAAAUCCCCGGGCUUAACCUGGGAACUGCAUUUGUGACUGCAUGGCUGGAGUGCGGCAGAGGGGGAUGGAAUUCCGCGUGUAGCAGUGAAAUGCGUAGAUAUGCGGAGGAACACCGAUGGCGAAGGCGAGCCCCUGGGCCUGCACUGACGCUCAUGCACGAAAGCGUGGGGAGCAAACAGG
Molecule: ribosomal RNA, 253 nt
Filed under: uncultured bacterium
Lineage: Bacteria
Description: partial 16S ribosomal RNA
Rfam family: Bacterial small subunit ribosomal RNA
Source: RNAcentral